AAAAUUGAUCUAAUUUGCUCAGAAUUUUGGGGCUAAGAUUCUUCUCUCAUUUGUUCUCACUUUGAUUGAUUCGCUUUGGAUGCUGCUGAUCUUGAUUUGAUGUCCUUCCAUUCCUGGAGCCGGUUUCCUUACUUGCUUCUUUUAUUCUUUCAUCAUUAGCAAUCUUCCUCUAUCUUGCUUCCUUUAUCCUACAAAGAUCCAUUCGUUAGUUUUUCAUUAUUAAAAUACUAACUUAGGAGGCUAACAAUCUCCCCCUUUUGAUAAUGAUAAACUUAUACAUCAGUUGACUUUUCUAUUAAAAUGGCCGGCUUGCUCCCCUGAUUUUCUUGUCUUGGUGGCUAUACUCGAUUCUAAUGUGAUGAUAAUCGAUUAGCUCCCUUGUCUUGUUAAUUGAUACAAUCUUCUCCCCCUUUUGACAUAAUAAAAAAGGACAGAGCAAAUACACCACACACCAGAAAAUAACAAGCCACAAAACAAGGAGUAGAAAUUAAUCAAGAACAAAACAUAAAAUACUAGACAUGAAAAGUUACGGUAGGAAGUGACAGCAAAACACGUCGGAGCAGGAGUAUGUAGUGUCUUUAUACAGAGUAGAGUACGAGAAGGGACAUACCCCCUUUUGAAUAAAAAAAGUUCAGCGUCGUUUGACAAUAAAAUAGGUAAGAGUGUUGUGCAUGUUAGAGCAAAAAUGAUCAUAAGAUUUCUCAACACUCUUGGUGUUUUUGCGGAAAUAUGACUUUUAGAGUCGCCACUAAUUUAUUUGGAAAAAUUAAGAAAACCUUUAAAUGAUUCAAACAAAAAAAUCAUUUAAGUUUAAAAAUUCUAAGUAGCGGUUCCCAUUAACAUUUUAUGAAGGUUUUCACGGCACCUAAAAUGUCUGCUAACUUGCGGAAAAAUGAUUUCUUUUGACUUACUUCUAAAAGAAAAAGUUGAUUGUUGAAAAGAAGUUGAUUAAGGAAUACUUCAGAAGUUUAUGCAAAAUCAAUUUUUUAGCGACUUAGUUAAGGGGUUUAACUAGGUUCGAAAGAACUCAAAGCAAAUAAGCAUAGAAAAAAAAAAAAAAGGGGGGAAGAAAUAAAUGAUUUGGGCUCUUAAUCCCAAAUCCAUCAACCCUGUCCGAAUCUAAUUGGAUUUUCGGUCCAUUUUCACCGAUCCUAAUCUAGAUAUUGAGCUUUGGUCCAUAACUUGUCCUAAAGUAUAUUUUCGAUCUCUUUUUGGCCCACAACUUGCUUCACCUGUAUUAAUUUACAACUUUGGCUUCAAGGACCAGAUAAAUAAAUAAUGGAAUAAAUAAACAAAUAAUAAAAAGAAAACAAUAAAAAAUAAAAUAAGACUUCCAAGUCUCUUGGCUACUUCAAAAAAUGGGACUUUAACCCAUUCUUUUUCUUUUGACUCCUCUUAUCCACGCGCUAUGUAACAGACUUUAGACAUUCAUUCGGGCUUGACUCAAAAGAUGGGCCUCAUUGGCCGAUUGUGGAAUGCAAAGAGUCCGUUUGGACUCCAACGGGUUUUCAUGCAAAACAAGGAAGAUAAAGAACAUUAAUGUAACUCAUAGCCAACCACGGAAAAAUUAAAAUUAGUUAACACAUAAUCCAUCAAAGAGAGGAAAAAUUAGACCAAAACCAAUGCAGAUUUAACUAAAAAUGGCAACGUAGUAUGAAUCUUAAAUAAUCAAAAGACGAUUAAAGAUGGUAAGACAUAUUCAUUUCAAUUCAAACUUACAAGUUCAUCCAAAACAGAAGAACUGUAGUUAAUACAUAACCAACCCAGGAAAGAAUAUAAAGAGAAUUAAUACGUGCUAACAAUAUACACUAAGUAACUGGGAUCCUAACAGGUAGUCAAAAAUUAAUUGGACAUAAGAAUACAGAGUCAUAUCAAUUAAAUAAAGAAAGAUUAUAUGCAAAAAGGGUUGGGUAUUACGUUCCAGUAUUUCUUCUAAAAUUAUGAAAACAGAUCACAAAGGCAAAAACAUGUACCAUCUUCCUAACUAAAUUGGAAUGAUCAUUUAGAUAUGUUGAAAUAACACACUUUAAACUAAUUGAAACAUCCGAGAGACUUAGUAUGCAUAAGCAACAACAUGUAUUGAGAAAAAUACCCCCUUAAUUACCAUACCAUCACGAAGACAUAUAUUCUUGUAACAUCAACAUAUUGUCAAGAAAGGGAAUCAAUAUACCGAAUUAGCAUUAAACACUUCAAACUAUUAGGUAAUAGUUCUAACAAAAUAGAUUAGAGAAGUAAGUCAAUAGAUAUGAGUAGGAUUUUAAUUUGUAAAAAAAACAGUGUUAUACUAAACCAAGGUUUUAGGUUACAUCAUACAUGGCACAUCUGAAAAUACAUUUUUUAACCUACAACAACGUUAAAUCAGUUUACACUGAAGACUUAAGCAUGCUAGAUUUUCUACCAUAUACGACUUCUCAGAAAAUGACCACAACGACAAAGAAAAUCAAUACAUCAAAAACAAGAGAAGCUGGAAAAUUUUUGUAAAGGAAAAGUUGAAUAGCUCAGGGGCAGUUAUAUAUCUACUGUGUUCAAACAAACUGAGAUGAUUCUACUUAAAUAAAAUAGAGCAGAAUAUGUGCAAAGAACAUUGUAAAAUACCAAAUUUUGAGUCGCUUAAAGCCUAUUCUAUCCUUUCUCAACAAGUCAGUAAAUUGAAACAUCUAAAUACCCUAAAGGUGUUCUAGGCCCAUUACUACAAUUUGUCAAUUAGAGUCUAGGAAUGCUUAGAAGAUGAUUGCUAUUGACCCAAAGAAAACAAAGAAACUGCAAUGUCGGUUAAACUUGAAGAAACUAAUCCAAACUACAACAAUUAAAGUCAAGUCUAUCCAUGAACAAACAGAAACAAAGGAAAUUCAAUCUAGAAAGAGGCUAUCAAAACUUAAAUCUAUGACAAAAUAGACUAAAGCAAAACAGGCAUACAUACAUGUGAUUGAAAGUAUCAAAUUUAGAGAUGACGAUUAUACUAAAUCGAAAGAACAUAAUGAACACAGAUUUAUGCCAAAAGAAACAUCAUCCAAAGCAGAAAGGUGAACUUAAAAAACUAACUAAAGAUUGUUAAAUCAAGAAUGACAAGCAUCUCGUAUCAAACAACAAUCACGAUCCUCUUUGCGAUACUCUAAGGCUCGCAAAGCCUCUACAACAACAACUCCUAGCACACAAUAUACUAAUCAAAACUACUACGAGUUUUACAACACAACAAUAUGAGAAAAGUAAAAUCGAAGACUAACUGGUUCUUGGGCAGCAAAAUGAGACUUCGAACGUUGUUGGAGUCUACCACCACUGGAGAUCGUUGUCGUCGACUCGUGAACCUCCUAUUAGCGGAGGAUCAUUUUUGCUCAAAAGUUCUUUUCAACUCCUCGAGACUUGUCUAUUCUUCUGGUUUUGAGUCCCUUUUAUAGGAGAAGAUUAGGCUCCCCCUUUAGAGUUCAAUCGAUGUGGAAAAGGUGAAAUGGGGGGUAGUUUUGGGAUUGCCAAUUGAGAAAUUUUCCAAGUUUUGAAUGAUAACUACAUUUCCCCCUUAAUCUUGUGUUAAUUUUGGAUUUUUUUUAGAGGAUUUUGAAUGGGUUCGACCAAUAGGAAUGGGGAAAAUGGAAAUUCCCUCAAAACCAGUGAAACUCGCAGAACUCUAUACGAAUUCGUAUAAAUUCAGCCCAGAAAUAACAAAUUUUCCAUUGGGAGGCAACCUUGGUAUCAUUUCUAGAAAGUUUUUGGACCUUCUAUGGUACACCAUCGUGUGGGGAGCACGCAGUGCAUACGAGGGGUAAAGGAAUAGGUUGAGGUCAAUUUUUCACCGGGUCGGGGCUAGGAUCGGUCGGAGCUAUUGAGGUCGCUGUUGUUUCUGGUUGUUGAUCGGGAUUUUAUUAUUGUCGUUGUUUGGAGUUUGGACGCUAUGCUCUGUUGUGUGUUGAAGGCUGUUGUUGUUGAGA
This 3923-nucleotide long non-coding RNA is filed under the name Capsicum annuum. Its description in RNAcentral is "long non-coding RNA (CANN_LNC020085)". The record is from RNAcentral. Lineage: Eukaryota; Viridiplantae; Streptophyta; Magnoliopsida; Solanales; Solanaceae.